UUCUGUAGCCAUUUUUGUACGAAUUUUUCAAACUUCAGUUGUAUCAAAACUACAGAUGUAAUGAAUAAUAGAGAUAGGCCAUUUUGUACACAUACCAAGGGGAAACUUGAUGCUAAGCAUUAUUAUUUAUUGUUUCAUUGCAUUUAAUAGAAAACGAGUACUUUGUGGCAAAUAAACCAAGAUUUUUAUAGAAAAUUCACAGC
RNAcentral lists this long non-coding RNA (203 nucleotides) under Mytilus galloprovincialis (Mediterranean mussel). Lineage: Eukaryota; Metazoa; Mollusca; Bivalvia; Mytilida; Mytilidae. The record is from RNAcentral.